This is a long non-coding RNA of Zophobas morio, 899 nucleotides long. RefSeq lists it as uncharacterized. Lineage: Eukaryota; Metazoa; Arthropoda; Insecta; Coleoptera; Tenebrionidae. The transcript has 3 exons. The record is from RefSeq and is a predicted model, not a curated record.
CGACCUCAAGAGGGAAAGUGUCAGUGUAAACCAUUAUUUUAUCGUUGAGUCUUAUGGAACUUCCGUCCGUACUGUUUCUUGUAAUUUCAGCGUGAUAAUUUAAACAGAACAAGACAAUGUACUUCGGGAAUACCUGCCUGGCCGCAAUAUUUAACCUCUCACUGUCUCGAACGUUCAUAAUCUCCUAGCAUCGCUCACACUGAAAACUAAACUGUGUUCUAAACAUCGUCUCAAAGCUCGACUCAAACCGCCAUGAAAAAACAAAGAAUCUUCUUCAUCAUUUUUACUUUAACCCUGUUCGUCUCAGUUUUGGCCUGGACUCGUGAAACUCAUCUCGUAAUAAAAAAUUUAUCAAAAAAUGACAUCGUCACAACAGUUGUCACAGAAUUCGACAGUUACGAUUUCGAAAAAAACAAUGGUCCUCAAGAUAAGUUCCAAAACGUUUCUAUUCCGAGGAAUUCUUCAGUGGAUCGUCACAUUGAGGUGAACCGCUUUGCGUCCAACUGUCCAUUUACCAUGACGUUAUGGUUUUCCGAUUUGACGAGCUCGUGGUUCCGGAUUAACCAGAAAUAUGCUAUUAAAAUGGCGGAACCUGGGUUUUCGCAUUCCGGAAACCGUGCCAUCGGAUAUGCGAGGAAACGCAAAACUAUUAUUAUUACUGUCAAAGACAAAUAAUAAUUUGCGCUGAAAAAAGAAGAAUUUUAAAAUCGAGUGUCAUGUUGCUUGGGGAAAAUAGUUUUCUAGAAAUCUCUGAAAUUGUUAAAAGUAUGUAAAUAUUUGCAGUUAAAGUGAUAAACACAUGUGCAAGGAAAUUGGCGAAAUGGUAAUGAAUACGUUUAAGGUAUCUUAUCACCUAUCUGAGUAGGAACAGAUUUUGAAAAUAUAUAUUUUUGUCGUAA